Molecule: unclassified non-coding RNA, 529 nt
Filed under: Hevea brasiliensis (rubber tree)
Lineage: Eukaryota; Viridiplantae; Streptophyta; Magnoliopsida; Malpighiales; Euphorbiaceae
Source: RNAcentral
AGUUUUUUUUUUCUUUUUUUUUGGGAGAAACAUAAAAGAGUAAUAUGUGAUUUUGCAAUGGUUGUUUUAGAUUUGUCAAAAAUAUACCCUACGGUUGGUACCAUUAGCACUAUUGUGCCAAGCCCGGUGCAGCGUUACCAGAUGUUGAUGUGGCAACACCCAACCAACUAAUCAUUUUUUUAAAUUUUACAUAAUUCAGUAAUAGAAAAAAAAAUGAUUGACUGGGCUUUGCCAUGUCAGCACCUAGUAAUGGUGGCACAGAAUGUGGCCCAUUCAUUGUAACUGUGCUGACCACAGAAUACACGUUUUGACAAACUUUAAAACACAGAUCUGAAAGUGUCAAAACUCGAAAAAACAAGGUACUUUUUUGUACUUUUCCCCCUUUUUUCUUUGAAUAUGAUCAAUUGGUCGUGCUGCCAAUGAUGAAUGGAUAACUAAUGACAUUGGCAUUCCUUGAAAAUACAUAUAUAGCCCCAUUUUACCCUAAUUUACUUCAUGUGUUUGCCAGGAUAUUAGCCUCUAUAUGAAG